GACGAACGCUGGCGGCGUGCUUAACACAUGCAAGUCGAACGGGAUUUAGUAGACAGAAGCCUCGGCUAAAGAUUACUAAUGAGAGUGGCGAACGGGUGAGUAACGCGUGAGCAACCUGCCUAUGACAGUGGGAUAGCCUCGGGAAACCGGGAUUAAUACCGCAUAAAAUCGUAGAAACACAUGUUUUAACGGUCAAAGAUUUAUCGGUCAUAGAUGGGCUCGCGUCUGAUUAGCUAGUUGGUGAGAUAACAGCCCACCAAGGCGACGAUCAGUAGCCGGGCUGAGAGGAUGAACGGCCACAUUGGAACUGAGACACGGUCCAAACUCCUACGGGAGGCAGCAGUGGGGAAUAUUGCACAAUGGGGGAAACCCUGAUGCAGCGACGCCGCGUGAACGAAGAAGGUAUUCGUAUCGUAAAGUUCUGUCCUAUGGGAAGAUAAUGACAGUACCAUAGAAGAAAGCUCCGGCUAAAUACGUG
This 478-nucleotide ribosomal RNA is filed under the name uncultured bacterium. RNAcentral's name for it is "partial 16S ribosomal RNA". It matches the Rfam family "Bacterial small subunit ribosomal RNA", at positions 28 to 507 of the family's 1533-position model. The record is from RNAcentral.